This 686-nucleotide ribosomal RNA is filed under the name uncultured bacterium. Its description in RNAcentral is "bacterial SSU rRNA". It matches the Rfam family "Bacterial small subunit ribosomal RNA", at positions 57 to 743 of the family's 1533-position model. The record is from RNAcentral.
GCAGUCGAACGAGAAUCACUGGAAGGAGUUUUCGGACAACGGAAGGUGAGGACAGUGGCGGACGGGUGAGUAACGCGUGAGGAACCUGCCUUUCAGAGGGGGACAACAGUUGGAAACGACUGCUAAUACCGCAUGACACAUAGAGAUCGCAUGGUUUUUAUGUCAAAGAUUUAUCGCUGAAAGAUGGCCUCGCGUCUGAUUAGCUAGUUGGUGAGGUAACGGCCCACCAAGGCGACGAUCAGUAGCCGGACUGAGAGGUUGACCGGCCACAUUGGGACUGAGAUACGGCCCAGACUCCUACGGGAGGCAGCAGUGGGGAAUAUUGGGCAAUGGGCGCAAGCCUGACCCAGCAACGCCGCGUGAAGGAAGAAGGCUUUCGGGUUGUAAACUUCUUUUGUCGGGGACGAGUAGAAGACGGUACCUGGCGAAUAAGCCACGGCUAACUACGUGCCAGCAGCCGCGGUAAUACGUAGGUGGCAAGCGUUGUCCGGAUUUACUGGGUGUAAAGGGCGUGUAGCCGGGAAGGCAAGUCAGAUGUGAAAUCCACGGGCUUAACUCGUGAACUGCAUUUGAAACUACUUUUCUUGAGUAUCGGAGAGGCAAUCAGAAUUCCUAGUGUAGCGGUGAAAUGCGUAGAUAUUAGGAGGAACACCAGUGGCGAAAGCGGAUUGCUGGACGACAACUGA